GACGAACGCUGGCGGCGUGCCUAACACAUGCAAGUCGAGCGAAGUACUUAUCAAUAAGCCUUCGGGCAGAUUGAUAAGCUACUUAGCGGCGGAUGGGUGAGUAACGCGUGAGGAACCUGCCUUCCACAAGGGGAUAGCCUCGGGAAACCGGGAUUAAUACCCUAUGACACUUAAAGGUCCCAUGACUUUUAAGUUAAAGCGUUAGCGGUGGAAGAUGGCCUCGCGUCCCAUUAGCUAGUUGGUGAGGUAAGGGCUCACCAAGGCCACGAUGGGUAGCCGGCUUGAGAGAGUGACCGGCCACACUGGAACUGAGACACGGUCCAGACUCCUACGGGAGGCAGCAGUGGGGAAUAUUGCACAAUGGGCGAAAGCCUGAUGCAGCGACGCCGCGUGAGGGAUGACGGCCUCGGUUGUAACCUCUUCUAGCAGGAAGAAGACGAAAGUAGACGGUACCGUCGCAGAAGAAGACACCGGCUAACCUACGUGCCACGCAGCCGCGGUAACGGGAGGUAGGUAACG
RNAcentral lists this ribosomal RNA (519 nucleotides) under uncultured bacterium. Its description in RNAcentral is "bacterial SSU rRNA". It matches the Rfam family "Bacterial small subunit ribosomal RNA", at positions 28 to 536 of the family's 1533-position model. The record is from RNAcentral.